Molecule: unclassified non-coding RNA, 329 nt
Filed under: soil metagenome
Description: partial contains 5.8S ribosomal RNA, internal transcribed spacer 2, and large subunit ribosomal RNA
Rfam family: 5.8S ribosomal RNA (bases 1-120)
Source: RNAcentral
GAUGAAGAACGUAGCGAAAUGCGAUAAGUAAUGUGAAUUGCAGAAUUCAGUGAAUCAUCGAAUCUUUGAACGCACAUUGCGCCCUCUGGUAUUCCGGGGGGCAUGCCUGUUCGAGCGUCAUUAUAACCACUCAAGCUCUCGCUUGGUAUUGGGGUUCGCGGUUCCGCGGCCCCUAAAAUCAGUGGCGGUGCCUGUCGGCUCUACGCGUAGUAAUACUCCUCGCGAUUGAGUCCGGUAGGUCUACUUGCCAGCAACCCCCAAUUUUUACAGGUUGACCGCGGAUCAGGUAGGGAUACCCGCUGAACUUAAGCAUAUCAAUAAGCGGAGGA